AUACGUAGGGUGCGAGCGUUGUCCGGAAUUACUGGGCGAAAAGAGCUCGUAGGUGGUUUGUCGCGUCGUCUGUGAAAUUCCGGGGCUUAACUCCGGGCGUGCAGGCGAUACGGGCAUAACUUGAGUACUGUAGGGGACACUGGAAUUCCUGGUGUAGCGGUGAACUGAGCAGAUAUCAGGAGGAACAGCGGUGGCGAAGGCGGGUCUCUGGGCAGUAACUGACGCUGAGGAGCGAAAGCAUGGGUAGCGAACAGGAUUAGAUACCCUGGUAGUCCAUGCCGUAAACGGUGGGCGCUAGGUGUAGGGGUCUUCCACGACUUCUGUGCCGUAGCUAACGCAUUAAGCGCCCCGCCUGGGGAGUACGGCCGCAAGGCUAAAACUCAAAGGAAUUGACGGGG
Molecule: ribosomal RNA, 398 nt
Filed under: uncultured bacterium
Lineage: Bacteria
Description: partial 16S ribosomal RNA
Rfam family: Bacterial small subunit ribosomal RNA
Source: RNAcentral